GGUUAAGCGACUAAGCGUACACGGUGGAUGCCCUGGCAGUCAGAGGCGAUGAAGGACGUGCUAAUCUGCGAAAAGCGCCGGCGAGGUGAUAUGAACCUUUGACCCGGCGAUGUCCGAAUGGGGAAACCCAGUGCAAUCCGUUGCACUAUCGUUAACUGAAUACAUAGGUUAACGAGGCGAACCGGGGGAACUGAAACAUCUAAGUACCCCGAGGAAAAGAAAUCAACCGAGAUUCCCCCAGUAGCGGCGAGCGAACGGGGAGCAGCCCGGAGUCUGAAUCAGCUUGUGUGUUAGUGGAACGGUCUGGAAAGUCCGACGGUACAGGGUGAUAGUCCCGUACACGAAAGCACACUUGCUGUGAACUCGAAGAGUAGGGCGGGACACGUGGUAUCCUGUCUGAAUAUGGGGGGACCAUCCUCCAAGGCUAAAUACUCCUGACUGACCGAUAGUGAACCAGUACCGUGAGGGAAAGGCGAAAAGAACCCCGGCGAGGGGAGUGAAAAAGAACCUGAAACCGUGUACGUACAAGCAGUGGGAGCCUCUUUAUGGGGUGACUGCGUACCUUUUGUAUAAUGGGUCAGCGACUUAUAUUCUGUAGCAAGGUUAACCGUAUAGGGGAGCCGAAGGGAAACCGAGUCUUAACUGGGCGUUAAGUUGCAGGGUAUAGACCCGAAACCCGGUGAUCUAGCCAUGGGCAGGUUGAAGGUUGGGUAACACUAACUGGAGGACCGAACCGACUAAUGUUGAAAAAUUAGCGGAUGACCUGUGGCUGGGGGUGAAAGGCCAAUCAAACCGGGAGAUAGCUGGUUCUCCCCGAAAGCUAUUUAGGUAGCGCCUCGUGAACUCAUCUUCGGGGGUAGAGCACUGUUUCGGCUAGGGGGCCAUCCCGGCUUACCAACCCGAUGCAAACUACGAAUACCGAAGAAUGUUAUCACGGGAGACACACGGCGGGUGCUAACGUCCGUCGUGAAGAGGGAAACAACCCAGACCGCCAGCUAAGGUCCCAAAGUCAUGGUUAAGUGGGAAACGAUGUGGGAAGGCACAGACAGCCAGGAUGUUGGCUUAGAAGCAGCCAUCAUUUAAAGAAAGCGUAAUAGCUCACUGGUCGAGUCGGCCUGCGCGGAAGAUGUAACGGGGCUAAACCAUGCACCGAAGCUGCGGCAGCGACGCUUAGGCGUUGUUGGGUAGGGGAGCGUUCUGUAAGCCGUUGAAGGUGUGCUGUGAGGCAUGCUGGAGGUAUCAGAAGUGCGAAUGCUGACAUAAGUAACGAUAAAGCGGGUGAAAAGCCCGCUCGCCGGAAGACCAAGGGUUCCUGUCCAACGUUAAUCGGGGCAGGGUGAGUCGACCCCUAAGGCGAGGCCGAAAGGCGUAGUCGAUGGGAAACAGGUUAAUAUUCCUGUACUUGGUGUUACUGCGAAGGGGGGACGGAGAAGGCUAUGUCAGCCGGGCGACGGUUGUCCCGGUUUAAGCAUGUAGGCGGAGGUUCCAGGUAAAUCCGGUACCUUAUUAACGCUGAGGUGUGAUGACGAGGCACUACGGUGCUGAAGUGAUAAAUGCCCUGCUUCCAGGAAAAGCCUCUAAGCAUCAGGUAACACGAAAUCGUACCCCAAACCGACACAGGUGGUCAGGUAGAGAAUACCAAGGCGCUUGAGAGAACUCGGGUGAAGGAACUAGGCAAAAUGGUGCCGUAACUUCGGGAGAAGGCACGCUGAUGUGUAGGUGAAGUCCCUGCGGACGGAGCUGAAAUCAGUCGAAGAUACCAGCUGGCUGCAACUGUUUAUUAAAAACACAGCACUGUGCAAACACGAAAGUGGACGUAUACGGUGUGACGCCUGCCCGGUGCCGGAAGGUUAAUUGAUGGGGUUAGCGGCAACGCGAAGCUCUUGAUCGAAGCCCCGGUAAACGGCGGCCGUAACUAUAACGGUCCUAAGGUAGCGAAAUUCCUUGUCGGGUAAGUUCCGACCUGCACGAAUGGCGUAAUGAUGGCCAGGCUGUCUCCACCCGAGACUCAGUGAAAUUGAACUCGCUGUGAAGAUGCAGUGUACCCGCGGCAAGACGGAAAGACCCCGUGAACCUUUACUAUAGCUUGACACUGAACACUGGUCCUUGAUGUGUAGGAUAGGUGGGAGGCUUUGAAGCGUGGACGCCAGUCUGCGUGGAGCCAACCUUGAAAUACCACCCUUUAAUGGCUGGUGUUCUAACGUAGACCCGUAAUCCGGGUUGCGGACAGUGUCUGGUGGGUAGUUUGACUGGGGCGGUCUCCUCCCAAAGAGUAACGGAGGAGCACGAAGGUUGGCUAAUCCUGGUCGGACAUCAGGAGGUUAGUGCAAUGGCAUAAGCCAGCUUGACUGCGAGCGUGACGGCGCGAGCAGGUGCGAAAGCAGGUCAUAGUGAUCCGGUGGUUCUGAAUGGAAGGGCCAUCGCUCAACGGAUAAAAGGUACUCCGGGGAUAACAGGCUGAUACCGCCCAAGAGUUCAUAUCGACGGCGGUGUUUGGCACCUCGAUGUCGGCUCAUCACAUCCUGGGGCUGAAGUAGGUCCCAAGGGUAUGGCUGUUCGCCAUUUAAAGUGGUACGCGAGCUGGGUUUAGAACGUCGUGAGACAGUUCGGUCCCUAUCUGCCGUGGGCGCUGGAGAAUUGAGGGGGGCUGCUCCUAGUACGAGAGGACCGGAGUGGACGCAUCACUGGUGUUCGGGUUGUCAUGCCAAUGGCACUGCCCGGUAGCUAAAUGCGGAAAAGAUAAGUGCUGAAAGCAUCUAAGCACGAAACUUGCCCCGAGAUGAGUUCUCCCUGAGACUUUAAGUCUCCUGAAGGAACGUUGAAGACGACGACGUUGAUAGGUCGGGUGUGUAAGCGCAGCGAUGCGUUGAGCUAACCGAUACUAAUGAACCGUGAGGCUUAACCUU
RNAcentral lists this ribosomal RNA (2906 nucleotides) under Enterobacter hormaechei. RNAcentral's name for it is "23S ribosomal RNA". It matches the Rfam family "Bacterial large subunit ribosomal RNA". The record is from RNAcentral. Lineage: Bacteria; Pseudomonadati; Pseudomonadota; Gammaproteobacteria; Enterobacterales; Enterobacteriaceae.